UUCUGUGUUCUGUAUUAGCUCUCCAGGUGGUUCUGAUACAUACCAAAAUUUCGGAAUUAUUUACUUAAAGAAUAACAGUUCUGAAUCAUGGGAAGGAAGACACAAGAAAUUGCCGGGCACAAAGUCCACAGACAAUUCUUCCCUACUUUGAUUUAAUAUCUUCGAGUCGAGGACUCUUCCUUAGGUAUUCGGGAUCACAUUUUUGAGACACGGUACAAGUGGGAUUAAUAUAUUUCAAUGAGAGUGGCACAAAAUUAGCAAAUAUUUUCUAUUGUUAAGAGAGCUCUACCUUUUGAGCUAAUUCCCAGCAUGAAUAGAAAAUCCUAUCCACUUUUUCCUUUGUUUUAUUUUUUCUCCUCAAAUUUUUGUUUCUCUUCUAGCGGUGAUUCUCAAAACUUGCAGCACGUUAAAAUCACCUGGGAGCUUUUAAAUCUACCAAUGCCUGGGUCCCAUCCAAAGUGGCCCAAACGUAACUGCCUUGUAAAAUCUUUCCAGGUGAUUCGGAUAACCACCAACUUUUCUCAGCCAGGGUUCAGAGCCACUGCUAAUUAAUUAAACGGAGAAUCACGAGCAGUGCCGCUGAAUUUUAUCUCGCCCCCCAGGUGGUGGGCAGCUGCAUCCCUUGAAAAAGAACCUUCCCAAAGAUAAGGAGACUAAGCCCACCAGGGGGCGCGCGUGCCCCACCAAUUACCCCCAGGUCCGCUUCAUUCCUACCAGCCCGCCCCUCUCCCUGGGUCCGGAUUCCCUAGUGGUGGGGCGAAGACUCAUCUCUGGACCCCUAGCCCAGGGGGCCCGCCUCUGAUCCGCCUCUUCUGGGCUCAGGACUUCUCUGCGGCCACAUCUGUAUGUGAACUAUGGGGCUGAAGUCUGAUCGCGUGUAUUAAUAAUUGUUGCGGAGAAUAAUAAUUUGAAAAAUUAGACUUGCUGCGCAACAAGAAUAAUGUUAAAUAGAUGCACACCGAGGAAAUGUAUAACUGAGAUGACUUUUUGAGGGUGGGCAUGAAAAACAACGCAAAAAGUGAACUCCUUCGAGCCGGACUCGAACCAGCGACCUAAGGAUGCCUGGGAGCUUUACACUACAGUCCUCCGCUCUACCAACUGAGCUAUCGAAGGAAUCACACUCUUUCGCUUACCCGCCGAGGAUGCCAUCUCUGCAUAAGGUUGGGAGACCGUAGGCGUUUGCUGCUUCAUUUGCUAGCGUUGCUGACGAGUUUGCUCUAGCCGCUUCCGUGUUUUUGUUGUAAGCCAGCACCCCUUUGGAACUAACACUCAAAGGUCCCCUGCCCUGGACCAAGAAGAAAACGGGAGCACGCACUGAUUUGCAAAAACGGAAAAUAAAAUGAUAAGGAGACACAAGAAGUGAUAACGACUUGGCGAUGAAUGUCUUUUAUUGUGAUGAGUGAAUUUAAAUAACCAAUUUUGACUGGACUUAUAAACAGGCUUUGAAGAACUUUAAUCUGCAAUUUUAAGAGGAUAAUUAACAAAGGAGAAGGAGGAGGAAGAAGAAAGCAAGCAUAGGUUUCUACAGCUACCACCUCAUUUGGACCCUCCCCACCUUCUGACUGGACUGCUGCAAUCACCUUGUAACGGAUCCCCUUGUCCAGAUUUGUCCUUUCUGUUCUGUUCUCCACACAAGCGUCGAAAGGUCUUACUGAGAGGAGUGUGAGGCCCACGAGAUUACCACCACUAAAAGAAGUCCUUGCUUCCUGCCACUCUCCCUACAGGCCCUUUAGUGUGAAAGAAAAUAAUUGGGUCCCCUCCGAAAUGAAAAUUCAUUCACAGGAAGGAAUGUGAACCCUCUUAUCAAAGGUCUGAUCUACCACCAGAACCAUCCAGUUUACGACGAAUUUGAUUUCACGAAGUCUGGCAAGCACCAGUCUUUGUGAUAGUGGAUUGGGGUUCAUACUUACAUGACUUUAUGUGUGAUCCUACACCCGCCUUAAGAGACAGGAUCCAUGACUUCCUUCAUUUUCUCUGGCUCCACAGUAUGAAAGAUUCAGAUAGAGACAGACAGACAUGCCUAGGGAGCCUUGAGAAGGGGAGGAGUGGGGACAGGCGGUAGAUUGGAGGGAUUCUGAGGGUGUGUGUCAAUCACUUGUAUCCUUGUAGGUCAGGAAUCGUAUCUGAUUCUUCCACAUAUAGCUAGAAUUCUAUGUAUUUUCAAAAUAAACUAGAACUCUGUGAAAACGGGAAGAAGCAAGAAAGAUUUUAUGUCCCUAUUUUUAUCUGCUUCAAAAGCAUUCCCAGAUGCAGGUAGGAGAUGAAUUUCGAGUCCUCCUCCCUACCCCUCUCCCAACCCGGCGAGAGAGAAGAGAAUCAGCCCUGCGUGUUCUGAACACAGCGGCGGUGCCGGAAGCCGAGGCCGCAGCAAAGGUUUACUGUGCGCCUGCUGCGGGCUGGGGGCGGAAGCUCUGCGUUCUUUGUGAUCUGGUGGUUCCUGAGGGUGAGGAAACCGGAGUACUGACCUCCACGUGUCCGGCAGGACUUGGCUCAAACAGGAGAACCCACACAGUGUUUUGAAAGGCUUUCAUCUGGACCCCAUCUUUGGGUAAGUUAGAGUGGAAAUUUCGAGAAUACACCAUAUGAAGCAUAAGAGUAACAAUUUAAUCCUUAAAACAACAGGUAGCAAACAAUGCCACAGUUAAGUAGAUGGAAUUUAGACUACCUGAGUGAUCAGAUUUGGGUGAGAUUCAUU
RNAcentral lists this transfer RNA (2695 nucleotides) under Equus caballus (horse). RNAcentral describes it as "lncRNA (ENSECAG00000044517.1)". The record is from RNAcentral. Lineage: Eukaryota; Metazoa; Chordata; Mammalia; Perissodactyla; Equidae.